GAUGAACGCUGGCGGCGUGCCUAAUACAUGCAAGUCGAGCGAACGGACGAGAAGCUUGCUUCUCUGAUGUUAGCGGCGGACGGGUGAGUAGCACGUGGAUAACCUACCUAUAAGACUGGGAUAACUUCGGGAAACCGGAGCUAAUACCGGAUGAUAUUUUGAACCGCAUGGUUCAAAAGUGAAAGACGGUCUUGCUGUCACUUAUAGAUGGAUCCGCGCUGCAUUAGCUGGUUGGUAAGGUAACGGCUUACCAAGGCAACGAUGCAUAGCCGACCUGAGAGGGUGAUCGGCCACACUGGAACUGAGACACGGUCCAGACUCCUACGGGAGGCAGCAGUAGGGAAUCUUCCGCAAUGGGCGAAAGCCUGACGGAGCAACGCCGCGUGAGUGAUGAAGGUCUUCGGAUCGUAAAACUCUGUUAUUAGGGAAGAACAUAUGUGUAAGUAACUGUGCACAUCUUGACGGUACCUAAUCAGAAAGCCACGGCUAACUACGUG
RNAcentral lists this ribosomal RNA (497 nucleotides) under uncultured bacterium. RNAcentral describes it as "partial 16S ribosomal RNA". It matches the Rfam family "Bacterial small subunit ribosomal RNA", at positions 28 to 507 of the family's 1533-position model. The record is from RNAcentral.